CAUAAACCGAGCAGGCCAAGGGCGCCUUCCUUCUCCUCCAUCUGUUUUCAGGGGGUUGGGGCAGUGGAGCUGCUCAGGACUAUGCUACGAUUCAGAGGCGCCCCAGAAAUUUAACACUAUAUCUACUACAGAGCUUUGAGAAUUCCGUGCCGGUCUUAUCAAGAGGCCUAUGACGUGGAGAAAACUGCGACCGCACAGGACUGGCUGCAGAGCGCUGGGUAAGGGAUGGCGUUUCCCAGCUGCUUCAGCCAGGCAGCCGUUCAGCGUUGAUGCAACCCGAGUGCCGGCACUGGGCCUCCACGAUCUCCGAGGGGAAGCGGUUGGGGUCCCGGGUGAUGCUGCAGGAGGGGCGGACAAAAGCAGUUGGUGAGACAAGGGAGACGGAGAUGGACAGAUGUGAGAACCCCGCGGCGCCGGGUGCUCACCUGCAGGGAGGCAUUUCCCAGCAACCCAGGGCUGUAACCAGAUGGCCUGGAUUCAUACAUUGCCCUCCGGCAGGUGUUUAACUACUAAAGGCUGUUUCUUCCACUCUAAAAUGGAGAUUCUCAUGGGUCCCUUUCAUGGAAUGGUUGAGAACAUUCAGUGAUACAAAUGCACACAAAACGCUACACUGUGAAAUACUGCCAUUCAAUAAAUGCUAGAUCUUUA
This is a long non-coding RNA of Suricata suricatta (meerkat), 648 nucleotides long. RefSeq lists it as uncharacterized. Lineage: Eukaryota; Metazoa; Chordata; Mammalia; Carnivora; Herpestidae. The transcript has 2 exons. The record is from RefSeq and is a predicted model, not a curated record.